This 253-nucleotide ribosomal RNA is filed under the name uncultured bacterium. RNAcentral describes it as "partial 16S ribosomal RNA". It matches the Rfam family "Bacterial small subunit ribosomal RNA", at positions 524 to 776 of the family's 1533-position model. The record is from RNAcentral.
UACGUAGGGGGCAAGCGUUGUCCGGAAUCAUUGGGCGUAAAGCGCGUGUAGGCGGCUUCGUAAGUCCGUUGUGAAAGUCCAGGGCUCAACCCUGGAAUGCCGAUGGAUACUGCGGAGCUAGAGUCCGGAAGAGGCGAGUGGAAUUCCUGGUGUAGCGGUGAAAUGCGCAGAUAUCAGGAGGAACACCGAUUGCGAAGGCAGCUCGCUGGGACGUAACUGACGCUGAGACGCGAAAGCGUGGGGAGCAAACAGG